AGAUGCAAACUAUUGUAUCUGGAGUGGAUAAGCAAUGAGAUCCUGCUGCAUAGCACAGGCAACUAUAUCUAGUCACUUGAGAUGGAAGAUGUUGGAGGAUAAUGUCAAAAAAAGAAUUUAUGUGUAUGUGUGACUGGGUCACUUUGCUGUACAGUAGAAAAUGACAGAAUGCUGUAAACCAACUAUAAUGAAAAAAAAUAAAAACCAUUAAAAAAAUGUGACCUCAGAUUCACAUGUGCAUUUAGUUAGUGAGGCCAAACCAGAUUUGGUUUCACAUUUUCUUAGGUAUUUUGAAAAUGUCAUCAAAAAUUAAAAUUCUUAACUUUUCCUUUGCUGUGUAUUACUGUUUUAUUACCUGAAUUUUCUGGGAUGAGGCCAAGAACUCUUAAAAAUUUCUUUUGUGUUCUGUGAGCUUAUAUGUCCACUAGAGGGUGCAUUUUACUCUUUUUUGACAAAAGUUUGUCUAUUGUAAUUGUGUAUUCAGUUUCAUGUGUUAACAACCAUCAGUAAGCAAAUUCCUUAAACAUGGACACUAGGAGACUGUCAUAGAAAAAUCUUAGCUCAUUAACAUGAAGCAACUAUAUGAUGAUUAAAAUAGUGGCCUCGACAUUGAACUCUAGUGGAGCACCAUGGGGUAGGGAUGCUUAGGGAAGCUUCAUGGGCAGUAUUGGACCUGGUGAGGCAUUGAACAGUCAGCCAGAGUCAAAUAGGGUAGUACAGUAGUUCUCAAACUUCUUGAUCUUGGACCCUCUCUACUCUGCUAGAAAUUAAGGUCCUUAAAGACAUUUGUUUUAGGUGGAUGGGUUAUAGGUAUCAGUAUUCGAUAGACGAGCAAAUAAAACAGAUAACUUUGAAAAUAUUUAUUUACUAUUUCAUUUACAAAUAAUAGUGGUAGGAGUUCCCGUCAUGGCUCAGCAUAUGUGAGUCAGACUGGGAACCAUGAGGUUAUGGGUUCAAUCCCUGGUCUUGCUUAGUGGAUUAAGGAUCCGGCAUUGCCGUGACCUGUGGUAUAGGUUGUGGCUUGGAUCUGGUGUGACUGUGGCUGUGGCGUAGGCCAGCGGCUACAACUCCGAUUAGACCCCUAGCCUCCUUAUGCCGUGAGUGCAGCCCUAAAAAGACAAAGACCAAAAAAAAAAAAAAAAAGUGGUAAGUGGAUACUUGUCAAUAUGAAUGACAUUUUUUUCCAAUAAAAAUAACUAUUUCAGAGUUCCUGUCAUGGUGCAGUGGAAACGAAUCUGAGUAGGAACCAUGAGGCUGCAGGGGCAAUCCCUGGCCUUGCUCAGUGGGUUAAGGAUCUGGCAUUGCCAUGAGCUGUUGUGUAGGUCGCAGAUGUGGCUUGGAUCCCACGUUGCUGUGGCUGUGGUGUAGGCCAGCAGCUGUAGCUCUGAUUAGACCCCUAGCCUGGGAAACUUCAUAUUCUGCAGGGUGCAGCCCUAAAAAGACCCCCCCCCAAAAAAACCCCAAAAAAACCCAAACUAUUUUUCUGAAACAAAAGCGCUAGCAAGAAGGAUGGUAUUAUUUUAAAUGUUUGAAGCUUUCUUUACUGUCUGGCUUAAUAGCUAAGAUUCUCAUCUGCUUUUGCAUUUAAUCUCUUGGAAUAGGUUGCUUUGGUUGAAGUAUCUAAAGAUACUUAGCCUUGUGCAGACACGAGGUUGGAGAAGAGAGGAAAGUUUUGAUAGCUUUUCUAAUAAUUAUGGUUAUGUGAUUCUGCACCCAGACUCUCAAAUGGUAGUAUCUUAAGGGUUACUUACAAUGUGGAACCUGAAACUAAUCAGUGAACUUUAAUUUGUUUCACUAAAAUAUCCAUUGGUCCAUGGAUUUCCCUUGUGGUGCAGCAGGUGAAGGAUCUGGCGCUGUUACUGCCAUGGCUUAAGUUCAAUCUCUGACCCAGGAACUUCCACAUGCUGCAGGUAUAGCGCCUCCCCCCACCCCCCAAAUCCAUCAGUCUGCCUUGGAUUUUGAAGGACUCUUACCCAUGCAUGAUUUUGGUUCAUUCAGCUAGGUGAACCUUCCAAAUAUUGACAUGAUAAGAGAAAAAUCACAUUGGUUAAUAUCACUGCUGAUUUUAUUAGAAAAGGGUUUCAGUAUUGGGAAUUUGUCAAGUUCUUGGUAAUAGAUAGACAUUUUCCAAAAAUUUAAUUUCCAUUCGAAAGCUUAAAUUUUAUCAUUAUCAAUAAAUACUAACAGUUUUCCUUGAAUUGACAGGCUCACUUCAUUUAUUUUAAGAAAAUAUUUGUGAAGUAUGCAAGUUUGAGUAACUGUUGUUAGUGACUUUUUUUCAAGUAGAAACGGGGUUCCAUGAAAGAAAAAAGCUAGUUCAGUUCAUAAGUAACUUUCCUUGGGCGUUCCCAUUGUGGCUCAGUGGUUAACAAAUCUGACUAGGAACCAUGAGGUUGCAGGUUUGAUCCCUGGCCUCUCUCAGUGGGUUAAGGAUCAGCAUUGCUGUGAGCUGUGGUGUAGGUUGCAGACACGGCUCAGAUCCCGUGUUGCUAUGGCUCUGGCGUAGGCUGGCGGCUGCAGUCCAAUUCGACCCCUAGCCUGGGAACCUCCAUUUGCCGUGGGAGUGGCCCAAGAAAUGGCAAAAAG
RNAcentral lists this long non-coding RNA (2586 nucleotides) under Sus scrofa (pig). Its description in RNAcentral is "lncRNA (ENSSSCG00015032933.1)". The record is from RNAcentral. Lineage: Eukaryota; Metazoa; Chordata; Mammalia; Artiodactyla; Suidae.